GACGAACGCUGGCGGCGUGCUUAACACAUGCCAGUCGAACGGAAAGGCCCUGCUUUUGUGGGGUGCUCGAGUGGCGAACGGGUGAGUAACACGUGAGUAACCUGCCCUUGACUUUGGGAUAACUUCAGGAAACUGGGGCUAAUACCGGAUAGGAGCUCCUGCUGCAUCGUGGGGGUUGGAAAGUUUCGGCGGUUGGGGAUGGACUCGCGGCUUAUCAGCUUGUUGGUGGGGUAGUGGCUUACCAAGGCUUUGACGGGUAGCCGGCCUGAGAGGGUGACCGGCCACAUUGGUACUGAGAUACGGCCCAGACUCCUACGGGAGGCAGCAGUGGGGAAUAUUGCACAAUGGGCGGAAGCCUGAUGCAGCAACGCCGCGUGCGGGAUGACGGCCUUCGGGUUGUAAACCGCUUUCGCCUGUGACGAAGCGUGAGUGACGGUAAUGGGUAAAGAAGCACCGGCUAACUACGUG
RNAcentral lists this ribosomal RNA (468 nucleotides) under uncultured bacterium. RNAcentral describes it as "partial 16S ribosomal RNA". It matches the Rfam family "Bacterial small subunit ribosomal RNA", at positions 28 to 507 of the family's 1533-position model. The record is from RNAcentral.